GCUUGUCUCAAAGAUUAAGCCAUGCAUGUCUAAGUAUAAACAACUUUAUACUGUGAAACUGCGAACGGCUCAUUAUAUCAGCAAUAAUUUAUUUGAUGGUUUCUUACUACAUGGAUAACUGUAGUAAUUCUAGAGCUAAUACAUGCGAAAAGACGCGACUCACGAAGCGUUGUAUUUAUUAGAUACAAAACCAAUGCGGGGCAACCCGGUAUAAGGUGAUUCAUAAUAACUUUGCGAAUCGCAUGGCCUUGCGCCGGCGAUGAAUCAUUCAAAUUUCUGCCCUAUCAACUUUCGAUGGUAAGGUAUUGGCUUACCAUGGUCGCAACGGGUAACGGGGAAUAAGGGUUCGGUUCCGGAGAGGGAGCCUGAGAAAUGGCUACCACAUCCAAGGAA
This 393-nucleotide ribosomal RNA is filed under the name uncultured Salpingoecidae. RNAcentral's name for it is "partial small subunit ribosomal RNA". It matches the Rfam family "Eukaryotic small subunit ribosomal RNA", at positions 30 to 423 of the family's 1831-position model. The record is from RNAcentral. Lineage: Eukaryota; Choanoflagellata; Craspedida; Salpingoecidae.